GUGUUCACUUUGGCAGCAUAUAUACUAAAAUUGGAACAAUACAGAAAAGAUUGGCAUGGUCCCUGCGCAAAGAUGACAUGCAAAUUUGUGAAGCAUUCCAUAUUUUU
Molecule: small nuclear RNA, 107 nt
Filed under: Jaculus jaculus (lesser Egyptian jerboa)
Lineage: Eukaryota; Metazoa; Chordata; Mammalia; Rodentia; Dipodidae
Source: RNAcentral